RNAcentral lists this ribosomal RNA (484 nucleotides) under uncultured bacterium. Its description in RNAcentral is "partial 16S ribosomal RNA". It matches the Rfam family "Bacterial small subunit ribosomal RNA", at positions 30 to 507 of the family's 1533-position model. The record is from RNAcentral.
AUUGAACGCUGGCGGAAUGCUUUACACAUGCAAGUCGAACGGCAGCACGGGGGCAGCCCUGGUGGCGAGUGGCGAACGGGUGAGUAACACAUCGGAACGUGCCCGGUCGUGGGGGAUAACGUAGCGAAAGUUACGCUAAUACCGCAUACGAUCUGAGGAUGAAAGCGGGGGACCUUCGGGCCUCGCGCGAUCGGAGCGGCCGAUGUCAGAUUAGGUAGUUGGUGGGGUAAAGGCCUACCAAGCCGACGAUCUGUAGCUGGUCUGAGAGGACGACCAGCCACACUGGGACUGAGACACGGCCCAGACUCCUACGGGAGGCAGCAGUGGGGAAUUUUGGACAAUGGGCGCAAGCCUGAUCCAGCCAUUCCGCGUGCAGGACGAAGGCCUUCGGGUUGUAAACUGCUUUUGUACGGAACGAAAAGGCUCUGGCUAAUACCUGGGGCUCAUGACGGUACCGUAAGAAUAAGCACCGGCUAACUACGUG